RNAcentral lists this transfer RNA (77 nucleotides) under Candidatus Peribacteria bacterium RIFCSPHIGHO2_02_FULL_53_20. RNAcentral describes it as "tRNA-Lys". It matches the Rfam family "tRNA". Rfam says of the family: Transfer RNA (tRNA) molecules are approximately 80 nucleotides in length. Their secondary structure includes four short double-helical elements and three loops (D, anti-codon, and T loops). Further hydrogen bonds mediate the characteristic L-shaped molecular structure. tRNAs have two regions of fundamental functional importance: the anti-codon, which is responsible for specific mRNA codon recognition, and the 3' end, to which the tRNAs corresponding amino acid is attached (by aminoacyl-tRNA synthetases). tRNAs cope with the degeneracy of the genetic code in two manners: having more than one tRNA (with a specific anti-codon) for a particular amino acid; and 'wobble' base-pairing, i.e. permitting non-standard base-pairing at the 3rd anti-codon position. Lineage: Bacteria; Candidatus Peregrinibacteriota; Candidatus Peribacteria. The record is from RNAcentral.
GGGUCAGUAGCUCAGUCCGGUAGAGCAGGAGCCUCUUAAGCUCUUGGCCGUGGGUUCAAAUCCCACCUGACCCACCA